GGGUUGUGAGGUUAAGCGACUAAGCGUACACGGUGGAUGCCCUGGCAGUCAGAGGCGAUGAAGGACGUGCUAAUCUGCGAAAAGCGUCGGUAAGGUGAUAUGAACCGUUACAGCCGGCGAUGUCCGAAUGGGGAAACCCAGUGCAAUUCGUUGCACUAUCGUUUGAUGAAUACAUAGUCAAACGAGGCGAACCGGGGGAACUGAAACAUCUAAGUACCCCGAGGAAAAGAAAUCAACCGAGAUUCCCCCAGUAGCGGCGAGCGAACGGGGAGCAGCCCGGAGUCUGAAUCAGCUUGUGUGUUAGUGGAAGCGUCUGGAAAGUCGCAGGGUACAGGGUGAUACUCCCGUACACUAAAACGCACAGGCUGUGAACUCGAAGAGUAGGGCGGGACACGUGGUAUCCUGUCUGAAUAUGGGGGGACCAUCCUCCAAGGCUAAAUACUCCUGACUGACCGAUAGUGAACCAGUACCGUGAGGGAAAGGCGAAAAGAACCCCGGCGAGGGGAGUGAAAAAGAACCUGAAACCGUGUACGUACAAGCAGUAGGAGCCCACUUGUUGGGUGACUGCGUACCUUUUGUAUAAUGGGUCAGCGACUUAUAUUCUGUAGCAAGGUUAACCGUAUAGGGGAGCCGCAGGGAAACCGAGUCUUAACUGGGCGUUAAGUUGCAGGGUAUAGACCCGAAACCCGGUGAUCUAGCCAUGGGCAGGUUGAAGGUUGGGUAACACUAACUGGAGGACCGAACCGACUAAUGUUGAAAAAUUAGCGGAUGACUUGUGGCUGGGGGUGAAAGGCCAAUCAAACCGGGAGAUAGCUGGUUCUCCCCGAAAGCUAUUUAGGUAGCGCCUCGUGAAUUCAUCUUCGGGGGUAGAGCACUGUUUCGGCUAGGGGGUCAUCCCGACUUACCAACCCGAUGCAAACUACGAAUACCGAAGAAUGUUAUCACGGGAGACACACGGCGGGUGCUAACGUCCGUCGUGAAGAGGGAAACAACCCAGACCGCCAGCUAAGGUCCCAAAGUCAUGGUUAAGUGGGAAACGAUGUGGGAAGGCCCAGACAGCCAGGAUGUUGGCUUAGAAGCAGCCAUCAUUUAAAGAAAGCGUAAUAGCUCACUGGUCGAGUCGGCCUGCGCGGAAGAUGUAACGGGGCUAAACCAUGCACCGAAGCUGCGGCAGCGACACUAUGUGUUGUUGGGUAGGGGAGCGUUCUGUAAGCCGUUGAAGGUGGCCUGUGAGGGUUGCUGGAGGUAUCAGAAGUGCGAAUGCUGACAUAAGUAACGAUAAUGCGGGUGAAAAACCCGCACGCCGGAAGACCAAGGGUUCCUGUCCAACGUUAAUCGGGGCAGGGUGAGUCGACCCCUAAGGCGAGGCCGAAAGGCGUAGUCGAUGGGAAACAGGUUAAUAUUCCUGUACUUGGUGUUACUGCGAAGGGGGACGGAGAAGGCUAUGUUGGCCGGGCGACGGUUGUCCCGGUUUAAGCGUGUAGGUGUGUGUUCCAGGUAAAUCCGGUUCACUUUAACACUGAGGCGUGAUGACGAGGCACUACGGUGCUGAAGUGACAAAUGCCCUGCUUCCAGGAAAAGCCUCUAAGCAUCAGGUAACAUCAAAUCGUACCCCAAACCGACACAGGUGGUCAGGUAGAGAAUACCAAGGCGCUUGAGAGAACUCGGGUGAAGGAACUAGGCAAAAUGGUGCCGUAACUUCGGGAGAAGGCACGCUGAUAUGUAGGUGAAGUGAUUUACUCAUGGAGCUGAAAUCAGUCGAAGAUACCAGCUGGCUGCAACUGUUUAUUAAAAACACAGCACUGUGCAAACACGAAAGUGGACGUAUACGGUGUGACGCCUGCCCGGUGCCGGAAGGUUAAUUGAUGGGGUUAUCCGUAAGGAGAAGCUCUUGAUCGAAGCCCCGGUAAACGGCGGCCGUAACUAUAACGGUCCUAAGGUAGCGAAAUUCCUUGUCGGGUAAGUUCCGACCUGCACGAAUGGCGUAAUGAUGGCCAGGCUGUCUCCACCCGAGACUCAGUGAAAUUGAACUCGCUGUGAAGAUGCAGUGUACCCGCGGCAAGACGGAAAGACCCCGUGAACCUUUACUAUAGCUUGACACUGAACACUGGUCCUUGAUGUGUAGGAUAGGUGGGAGGCUUUGAAGCGUGGACGCCAGUCUGCGUGGAGCCAUCCUUGAAAUACCACCCUUUAAUGGCUGGUGUUCUAACGUGGGCCCCUAAUCGGGGUUGCGGACAGUGUCUGGUGGGUAGUUUGACUGGGGCGGUCUCCUCCUAAAGAGUAACGGAGGAGCACGAAGGUCAGCUAAUCCUGGUCGGACAUCAGGAGGUUAGUGCAAUGGCAUAAGCUGGCUUGACUGCGAGCGUGACGGCGCGAGCAGGUGCGAAAGCAGGUCAUAGUGAUCCGGUGGUUCUGAAUGGAAGGGCCAUCGCUCAACGGAUAAAAGGUACUCCGGGGAUAACAGGCUGAUACCGCCCAAGAGUUCAUAUCGACGGCGGUGUUUGGCACCUCGAUGUCGGCUCAUCACAUCCUGGGGCUGAAGUAGGUCCCAAGGGUAUGGCUGUUCGCCAUUUAAAGUGGUACGCGAGCUGGGUUUAGAACGUCGUGAGACAGUUCGGUCCCUAUCUGCCGUGGGCGCUGGAGAAUUGAGGGGGGCUGCUCCUAGUACGAGAGGACCGGAGUGGACGCAUCACUGGUGUUCGGGUUGUCAUGCCAAUGGCAUUGCCCGGUAGCUAAAUGCGGAAGAGAUAAGUGCUGAAAGCAUCUAAGUACGAAACUUGCCCCGAGAUGAGUUCUCCCUGACUCCUUGAGAGUCCUGAAGGAACGUUGAAGACGACGACGUUGAUAGGCCGGGUGUGUAAGCGCAGCGAUGCGUUGAGCUAACCGGUACUAAUGAACCGUGAGGCUUAACCUUACAACGCCGAAG
Molecule: ribosomal RNA, 2926 nt
Filed under: Klebsiella sp. FDAARGOS_511
Lineage: Bacteria; Pseudomonadati; Pseudomonadota; Gammaproteobacteria; Enterobacterales; Enterobacteriaceae
Description: 23S ribosomal RNA
Rfam family: Bacterial large subunit ribosomal RNA
Source: RNAcentral